GAGGGUAUAGCUCAAGUGGUGGAGUGCAUGCCUAACAUGCCUGAAGCCCUGGGUUCAAUCCCCAGUACCUCCA
RNAcentral lists this transfer RNA (73 nucleotides) under Camelus bactrianus (Bactrian camel). It matches the Rfam family "tRNA". From Rfam's summary of the family: Transfer RNA (tRNA) molecules are approximately 80 nucleotides in length. Their secondary structure includes four short double-helical elements and three loops (D, anti-codon, and T loops). The record is from Rfam by way of RNAcentral. Lineage: Eukaryota; Metazoa; Chordata; Mammalia; Artiodactyla; Camelidae. RNAcentral also lists the same sequence under 2 other names.